RNAcentral lists this unclassified non-coding RNA (144 nucleotides) under soil metagenome. RNAcentral's name for it is "partial internal transcribed spacer 1". The record is from RNAcentral.
CAUUCAGUAGCCUAGCUACUUGUUUACACCCUUGUUUUUUUUGCGCACUUCACUGUAUCCCUCGGCGGGCUUGCUCGCCGGUUGGACAACAUUUAUAACCUUUUUUAAUCUUCAAUCAGCCGUCUGAAUUAUAUUUAAUAAUUA